GAAGAGAUAAAGGCUGGUCCCCAGCAACAUCUCUGUGGUCCCUACAGACACAGCAGCCCCUGUUCCUCGCCUGACUACCGCGAUGCACCUCAGAUGCAUGCCUGCCACGGGUCUGGACAAGUUCAGCCAAGACCAUCUCCUGCUAGACUGUGCUUUCUGCAGAGACAUCAAGCAUGCCAUCAAACUCAUCUGCGACUUCCUGGGGGAGAGGUGCUUUUUUCCAGGUCUCCCUCUCCCUGUGCGGGUGUCCACGGCGGUGGCAGUGAGCUCACACCAGGCCCCAGCUCUCAAAGCUUCCACCAGCUCUCAGCAGGGCCACCCUGGGGACCAAGCCUUUACACAUGGCCCUCGGGCAACAUUCAGGAGCCAAACUGUAGUCCCCAGGGUUCAGACAGCUCUGCCCUACCAGUAUUGGGGCUGCUGGUUCAAGGACAAAAUCGUGAGAUUUGGAGAGAGAGGAGCAGUGCCCAAGGAUGAUGGAAAUGACUGUGCGAAAUUCAGAGCCCCUGCGCAGGGACAUCUCUGAGUCCCUAGGAAGGAAUCUGCUGGGAGCGAUGCGCUGUAGAUCACUAUGGCCAGGCCUAAUUCACCUCCUCCCUCGGACGAGGCAGGGCCCGGUGGAGAACGGACAACAAGAGGGGCAUAGUGGAGUGGCUGGGCGUGGUGGAGCAAGGCCUGGCCAGAAGAGGACUGUCUUCCUUCCCAGACAUUCACCAGAGAAACAUCAAGCAUUAGCUCCUGCAGACCUAGCCAUUCUCCCUGUUCCAAUCCGGCAUCCCCUUUCAGUUUCCAUAUCUACACUAUAAAGAAAGGCGCUGAGGAUGCAAGCCAAUGUUUGUCUCAUCAGGAUAAAGAGUUUCCACCUGGCCUCAGCUUUGUAAACCUUACUGUUCUUUGUUGUAUUCUUUGUCUUGUUCUUUAAGUUUCUUAAUCUCUCACCUUCAUCGUUUCUUACUCAUGAACCCUUCAGACAAGCAGGCCGAGGCAGAAAUCCAUUCUGGGCUCCUCCCGACUAAGGAAACAAAACCAGCUGUGGAGGGUAAGUGUUUACCCAGCAGAGAGGGC
This 1065-nucleotide long non-coding RNA is filed under the name Heterocephalus glaber (naked mole-rat). RNAcentral's name for it is "lncRNA (ENSHGLG00100033364.1)". The record is from RNAcentral. Lineage: Eukaryota; Metazoa; Chordata; Mammalia; Rodentia; Bathyergidae.